CACGCAGGUGGCUUGGCAAGUCGGAUGUGAAAGCCCCGGGCUUAACCUGGGAACUGCAUUCGAUACUGCCAGGCUAGAGUAUGGGAGAGGAAAGUGGAAUUCCCGGUGUAGCGGUGAAAUGCGUAGAUAUCGGGAGGAACAUCAGUGGCGAAGGCGGCUUUCUGGCCCAAUACUGACACUCAUGUGCGAAAGCGUGGGGAGCAAACA
This 207-nucleotide ribosomal RNA is filed under the name uncultured bacterium. RNAcentral's name for it is "partial 16S ribosomal RNA". It matches the Rfam family "Bacterial small subunit ribosomal RNA", at positions 568 to 774 of the family's 1533-position model. The record is from RNAcentral.